UACGUAGGGUGCAGGCGUUAAUCGGAAUUACUGGGCGUAAAGCGUGCGCAGGCGGUCUGCUAAGAGAGAUGUGAAAUCCCCGGGCUUAACCUGGGAACUGCGUUUCUAACUGGCAGGCUUGAGUGUGGCAGAGGGGGGUGGAAUUCCACGUGUAGCAGUGAAAUGCGUAGAGAUGUGGAGGAACACCGAUGGCGAAGGCAGCCCCCUGGGCUAACACUGACGCUCAUGCACGAAAGCGUGGGGAGCAAACGGG
This 253-nucleotide ribosomal RNA is filed under the name uncultured bacterium. RNAcentral describes it as "partial 16S ribosomal RNA". It matches the Rfam family "Bacterial small subunit ribosomal RNA", at positions 524 to 776 of the family's 1533-position model. The record is from RNAcentral.